This 817-nucleotide long non-coding RNA is filed under the name Sus scrofa (pig). RNAcentral describes it as "lncRNA (ENSSSCG00070005961.1)". The record is from RNAcentral. Lineage: Eukaryota; Metazoa; Chordata; Mammalia; Artiodactyla; Suidae.
CUGCAGAAGAGGCAGGAUGCUCCGAGGUGGGUCCCGGGUGCUGGGGGGCCGUGCCCUCCCUCUUUCCUUCCCCGGGAUCACAGCCAGGGGCCCCCCCGCGCAGCCCUGAGGUGGAUUCGAGAAGCAGACCUCGGGCAGCACGGGGCUCAGAGGCCAGAAUCAGAGCUGACGCUGCCUGGGUCCUUCCCGUCACUCUCCAGGAUGAGAUCAUUGAGACAAUGGUUCCUAAAAAAUAAAAGGGCCUUUCUGUUUCCCUUUCCAAAUAUGUUCUAGGACAUUCUCAGAAUGCCCCGGGGGAUACGUGCUCUUCAAACUUUCAACAUGGUGAAGGCCUGGGAGGUGGUGGACCGCGACAAGAACGCUGGGAGUGUGACCAGCACAGGCCCGGAGGCGCCCAGGGCCUCAUCUCUCCGCGUCUGAGCUCCCGGUUUCAUGCUCAGCCAAGGAAUUCGAGCUUCACUUUUAGCGUCAGGGAGAAAACUAAAGAUUGGAGCCCACUAGAAACUUAUUUUCCCUGUGUUGCAAAGAAGAAGUCACGGGGUCGCCGGUAAGUGAGUGCAGCUGAUGCACGCCGCCCGCCUCGGCGCCAGCUCCUGCGCUCCUCAUUUCCAGUCCUAAGGACGACUCGGCGCCUUGGCUAUUUAUUGCCAUCCCCAGCCUUACCCCUGAGGACGCCAAAGCAGAAGAAGGUGAGGAGGCAGCGGCACUGUGGCACUGGAACCCUAUCUACCUGCCAGGGUGUUUUCCUGUGUGGGCGGCGCUGAAGGCUGCACGGUCUCAGGGUUCUCGGGGGACAGGCUUCUGCCUCAGAGAAGCU